This 491-nucleotide ribosomal RNA is filed under the name uncultured bacterium. Its description in RNAcentral is "bacterial SSU rRNA". It matches the Rfam family "Bacterial small subunit ribosomal RNA", at positions 18 to 509 of the family's 1533-position model. The record is from RNAcentral.
CCUGGCUCAGGAUGAACGCUGGCGGCGUGCUUAACACAUGCAAGUCGAACGAAGCUCUUUGAACUGAGGAUUCGUCCAAGGUGAUGAGAUGACUUAGUGGCGGACGGGUGAGUAACGCGUGGGUAACCUGCCGUAUGCAGGGGGACAACAGUUGGAAACGACUGCUAAUACCGCAUAAGCGCACAGGACCGCAUGGUCUAGUGUGAAAAGAUUUAUCGGCAUACGAUGGACCCGCGUCUGAUUAGCUAGUUGGUGAGGUAACGGCCCACCAAGGCAACGAUCAGUAGCCGGCCUGAGAGGGUGAACGGCCACAUUGGGACUGAGACACGGCCCAAACUCCUACGGGAGGCAGCAGUGGGGAAUAUUGCACAAUGGGGGAAACCCUGAUGCAGCGACGCCGCGUGAGUGAAGAAGUAUCUCGGUAUGUAAAGCUCUAUCAGCAGGGAAGAAAAUGACGGUACCUGACUAAGAAGCCCGGCUAACUACGUGCC